UAGGGAAUCUUCGGCAAUGGACGAAAGUCUGACCGAGCAACGCCGCGUGAGUGAAGAAGGUUUUCGGAUCGUAAAACUCUGUUGGUAGAGAAGAACGUUGGUGAGAGUGGAAAGCUCAUCAAGUGACGGUAACUACCCAGAAAGGGAC
This 148-nucleotide ribosomal RNA is filed under the name uncultured bacterium. Its description in RNAcentral is "partial 16S ribosomal RNA". It matches the Rfam family "Bacterial small subunit ribosomal RNA", at positions 355 to 494 of the family's 1533-position model. The record is from RNAcentral.